Molecule: ribosomal RNA, 383 nt
Filed under: uncultured eukaryote
Lineage: Eukaryota
Description: partial 18S ribosomal RNA
Rfam family: Eukaryotic small subunit ribosomal RNA
Source: RNAcentral
CAAUAGCGUAUAUUAAAGUUGUUGCAGUUAAAAAGCUCGUAGUUGGAUCUCUGGCAGGAGCGACCGGUCACACACUCUGUGUGUGAACUUGCGUUGUCUCUGGCCAUCCUUGGGAAGAUCCUGUUUGGCAUUAAGUUGUCGGGCAGGGGAUACCCAUCGUUUACUGUGAAAAAAUUAGAGUGUUUAAAGCAGGCUUAUGCCGUUGAAUAUAUUAGCAUGGAAUAAUAAGAUAGGACUUCGGAACUAUUUUGUUGGUUUGCGUUACGAAGUAAUGAUUAAUAGGGACAGUUGGGGGUAUUCGUAUUUCGUUGUCAGAGGUGAAAUUCUUGGAUUUCCGAAAGACGAACUACUGCGAAAGCAUUUACCAAGGAUGUUUUCAUUAA